GACGAACGUUGGCGGCGUGCUUAACACAUGCAAGUCGAGCGGAGCGGCGAACGGGUGAGUAACGCGUGAGUAACUGACCCCCUCUCUGGGAUAACAGUUGGACACGGCUGCUAAUACCGGAUAGUGGGGGAUGACUCGGGUCCUAUCAGUUUGUUGGUGGGGUAGUGGCUUACCAAGGCGACGACGGGGAGCCGGCCUGAGAGGGCGACCGUCCACAGUGGGCUGAGAUACGGCCCGAAAUCCUACGGGGGGCAGCCGUGGGGAAUAUUGCGCAAGGGGGGAAGCCCUGAUGCAGCAACGCGCGUGCGGGAUGACGGCCUUCGGGUUGUAAGCCGCUUUCAGCCAUGACGCGGUAGUGGCAGAAGAAGCACCGGCUAACUACGUGCCAGCAGCCGCGGUAAUUC
Molecule: ribosomal RNA, 404 nt
Filed under: uncultured bacterium
Lineage: Bacteria
Description: partial 16S ribosomal RNA
Rfam family: Bacterial small subunit ribosomal RNA
Source: RNAcentral